RNAcentral lists this ribosomal RNA (460 nucleotides) under uncultured bacterium. RNAcentral describes it as "partial 16S ribosomal RNA". It matches the Rfam family "Bacterial small subunit ribosomal RNA", at positions 338 to 795 of the family's 1533-position model. The record is from RNAcentral.
CCUACGGGUGGCAGCAGUGAGGAAUAUUGGUCAAUGGACGAGAGUCUGAACCAGCCAAGUAGCGUGAAGGAUGACUGCCCUAUGGGUUGUAAACUUCUUUUAUAAAGGAAUAAAACGAGGCACGUGUGCCUUUUUGCAUGUACUUUAUGAAUAAGGAUCGGCUAACUCCGUGCCAGCAGCCGCGGUAAUACGGAGGAUCCGAGCGUUAUCCGGAUUUAUUGGGUUUAAAGGGAGCGUAGAUGGGUUGUUAAGUCAGUUGUGAAAGUUUGCGGCUCAACCGUAAAAUUGCAAUUGAUACUGGCAGUCGUGAGUACAGUUGAGGUAGGCGGAAUUCGUGGUGUAGCGGUGAAAUGCUUAGAUAUCACGAAGAACCCCGAUUGCGAAGGCAGCUUACUAAACUAUGACUGACAUUGAUGCUCGAAAGUGUGGGUAUCAAACAGGAUUAGAUACCCUUGUAGUC